UAGUUCACAGAAUGCUUUCAUGGUUUAUUUCAUUUACAGAUGGUGUACCUCUUAUCCAAAAUGUUGGGGACCAGAAGUUUUUAGAUUUGGGAUUUUUUUAAAAAAAUAUUUACAAAAUACCUAAUGAGAUAUCUUAGGGAUGGGGCCCAAGUCUAAACAUGAAAUUCAUUUAUAUUUCAUAUACAAUUAUACACAAUCCUAAAGGUAAUUUUUUUUUUACUUUUUUCCCUACAUGUUUUUUUUAUUGGUGCGUUAUUGUUGUACACACUGAUGGUAUUUGUUGUUACAUAUUUAUACAUGCAUACAAUAUACAAUGUAACAAUAUAAUUUUGCCAAUAUCACUCCCCAGCAUUUCCUCCCUCCUCCCCUAUCCCACUCCUUGGUCCCUUUCUUCUACUGACUUCCCUUUGAUUUUCCUGAGAUCUGCCCCCACCUUUCUUUUCCUUUUUUCUCUCUACUUCUCCAUAUGAAAGAAAACAUACAACUGUUAACCUUCUGAUUUUGACUUAUUUAGCUUAACAUAAUGAUCUCUAGUUCCAUCUAUUUUCCUGAAAAUGCCAUAAUUCCAUUUUUCUUUGUGGUUGAAUAAAACUCCAUUGUGUGUGUGUGUGUAUAUAUAUAUAUAUAUAUAUAUAUAUAUAUAUAUAUAUAUAUAUAUACACACACACACACACACACACACACAUCCCACAUUUUAAAAAUAUAUUCAUCUAGGCUGGUUCCACAGUUUGGCUAUUGUGAGUUGUGCUGCUAUAAACAUGGGUAUGCAUAUAUCACUGUAGUAUGAUGACUUUGAUUCUGCAGUAUAAAUCCAAGGAGUGGUAUAGCUGGGUCAUUUGGUGGUUCCAUUCCUAGCCUUUUGAGGAACUUCCAUAAUGAUUUCCAUAGUGGUUGAACUAAUUUGCAGUCCCACCAACAGUGUAAAAGUAUUCUUUUUUCUCCACAUCCUCUCCAGAAUUUAUUAUUAUUUGUAUUCUUGAUGGCUGCCAUUCUGACUGGUGUGAGAUGAAAUCUCAGUGUAGUUUUGAUUUGCAUUUCCCUAACUGAACUUAAAGUCAUUG
RNAcentral lists this long non-coding RNA (1061 nucleotides) under Marmota monax (woodchuck). The record is from RNAcentral. Lineage: Eukaryota; Metazoa; Chordata; Mammalia; Rodentia; Sciuridae.